CCUGGUGGCUCAGUGGGUAAAGCAUCUGCCUGCAAUGCGGGAGACCCGGGUUCGAUCCCUGGGUCAGGA
RNAcentral lists this transfer RNA (69 nucleotides) under Ovis aries (sheep). It matches the Rfam family "tRNA". From Rfam's summary of the family: Transfer RNA (tRNA) molecules are approximately 80 nucleotides in length. Their secondary structure includes four short double-helical elements and three loops (D, anti-codon, and T loops). The record is from Rfam by way of RNAcentral. Lineage: Eukaryota; Metazoa; Chordata; Mammalia; Artiodactyla; Bovidae.